This 424-nucleotide ribosomal RNA is filed under the name uncultured bacterium. RNAcentral's name for it is "bacterial SSU rRNA". It matches the Rfam family "Bacterial small subunit ribosomal RNA", at positions 359 to 795 of the family's 1533-position model. The record is from RNAcentral.
GAAUAUUGGGCAAUGGGCGCAAGCCUGACCCAGCGACGCCGCGUGAGGGAUGAAGGCCUUCGGGUUGUAAACCUCUUUCAGUAGGGAAGAAGCGAAAGUGACGGUACCUAAAGAAGAAGCACCGGCUAACUAUGUGCCAGCAGCCGCGGUAAUACAUAGGGUGCAAGCGUUGUCCGGAAUUAUUGGGCGUAAAGAGCUCGUAGAUCGUUUGUCGCGUCGAUUGUGAAAAUCUGAGGCUCAACCUCAGACCUGCAGUCGAUACGGGCAAACUAGAGUGUGGUAGGGGAGACUGGAAUUCCUGGUGUAGCGGUGGAAUGCGCAGAUAUCAGGAGGAACACCAAUGGCGAAGGCAGGUCUCUGGGCCAUAACUGACACUGAGGAGCGAAAGUGCGGGGAGCGAACAGGAUUAGAUACCCCUGUAGUC